UACGUAGGGGGCAAGCGUUGUCCGGAAUUAUUGGGCGUAAAGCGCGCGCAGGCGGCUAUUUAAGUCUGGUGUUUAAACCUCGGGCUCAACCUGGGGUCGCACUGGAAACUGGAUGGCUUGAGUGCAGAAGAGGAAAGUGGAAUUCCAUGUGUAGCGGUGAAAUGCGUAGAUAUAUGGAGGAACACCAGUGGCGAAGGCGACUUUCUGGGCUGUAACUGACGCUGAGGCGCGAAAGCGUGGGGAGCAAACA
Molecule: ribosomal RNA, 250 nt
Filed under: uncultured bacterium
Lineage: Bacteria
Description: partial 16S ribosomal RNA
Rfam family: Bacterial small subunit ribosomal RNA
Source: RNAcentral